CGCAGCCAGGCAGGCUUGAAAGCAGACACAUUUGCAUUGAAAAGUACUGAGGGCAGCGAUCACCAACUUGCCCUGUGACACAACGAUUCACAUUAAGUGGGGGAAAAAGCAGAGUUUGCCAGAUGCAACACCCAGAGGAUCAAGCCAGAGCUGAGAGAGAGACGUAUGGAGAUGCUCUCCAGCUUUACCUGACAAACAGCAACAAAUUUCAAACUGCAGGAACUGCAGACAACAUUAAUCUCCUCGCCUCGGAAUACCAAGCCAGGAUCUCCUCACUGAACAAUGACAUCCAGCAGAAGGGAGCAGAGAUCCACACACUACAAUCACUCCU
Long non-coding RNA from Callorhinchus milii (elephant shark), 331 nucleotides. RefSeq lists it as uncharacterized. The record is from RefSeq and is a predicted model, not a curated record. The transcript has 3 exons. Lineage: Eukaryota; Metazoa; Chordata; Chondrichthyes; Chimaeriformes; Callorhinchidae.